Molecule: ribosomal RNA, 722 nt
Filed under: uncultured Fusobacterium sp.
Lineage: Bacteria; Fusobacteriati; Fusobacteriota; Fusobacteriia; Fusobacteriales; Fusobacteriaceae
Description: bacterial SSU rRNA
Rfam family: Bacterial small subunit ribosomal RNA
Source: RNAcentral
GAUGAACGCUGACAGAAUGCUUAACACAUGCAAGUCUACUUGAACUUCGGUUUGGGUGGCGGACGGGUGAGUAACGCGUAAAGAACUUGCCUCACAGUUAGGGACAACAUUUGGAAACGAAUGCUAAUACCUGAUAUUAUGAUUUUAGGGCAUCCUAAGAUUAUGAAAGCUAUAUGCACUGUGAGAGAGCUUUGCGUCCCAUUAGCUAGUUGGAGAGGUAACGGCUCACCAAGGCGAUGAUGGGUAGCCGGCCUGAGAGGGUGAACGGCCACAAGGGGACUGAGACACGGCCCUUACUCCUACGGGAGGCAGCAGUGGGGAAUAUUGGACAAUGGACCAAAAGUCUGAUCCAGCAAUUCUGUGUGCACGAUGACGUUUUUCGGAAUGUAAAGUGCUUUCAGUUGGGAAGAAAAAAAUGACGGUACCAACAGAAGAAGUGACGGCUAAAUACGUGCCAGCAGCCGCGGUAAUACGUAUGUCACAAGCGUUAUCCGGAUUUAUUGGACGUAAAGCGCGUCUAGGUGGUUAUGUAAGUCUGAUGUGAAAAUGCAGGGCUCAACUCUGUAUUGCGUUGGAAACUGCAUGACUAGAGUACUGGAGAGGUAAGCGGAACUACAAGUGUAGAGGUGAAAUUCGUAGAUAUUUGUAGGAAUGCCGAUGGGGAAGCCAGCUUACUGGACAGAUACUGACGCUAAAGCGCGAAAGCGUGGGUAGCAAACAGG